RNAcentral lists this ribosomal RNA (468 nucleotides) under uncultured bacterium. RNAcentral's name for it is "partial 16S ribosomal RNA". It matches the Rfam family "Bacterial small subunit ribosomal RNA", at positions 28 to 507 of the family's 1533-position model. The record is from RNAcentral.
GACGAACGCUGGCGGCGUGCUUAACACAUGCAAGUCGAACGGUGAAGCCCUAGCUUGCUGGAGUGGACCAGUGGCGAACGGGUGAGUAACACGUGAGUAACCUGCCCCUGACUCUGGGAUAAGUGCUGGAAACGGCGUCUAAUACUGGAUACGAGAUGGGUCUGCAUGGGCACUUUUGGGAAAGUUCGGCGGUUGGGGAUGGGCUCGCGGCCUAUCAGCUUGUUGGUGGGGUAAUGGCUCACCAAGGCGACGACGGGUAGCCGGCCUGAGAGGGCGACCGGCCACACUGGGACUGAGACACGGCCCAGACUCCUACGGGAGGCAGCAGUGGGGAAUAUUGCACAAUGGGCGGAAGCCUGAUGCAGCGACGCCGCGUGAGGGAUGACGGCCUUCGGGUUGUAAACCGCUUUCAGCAGGGAAGAAGCGAGAGUGACGGUACCUGCAGAAGAAGCACCGGCUAACUACGUG